GAUGAACGCUGGCGGCGUGCCUAAUACAUGCAAGUCGAGCGAACAGACGAGGAGCUUGCUCCUCUGACGUUAGCGGCGGACGGGUGAGUAACACGUGGAUAACCUACCUAUAAGACUGGGAUAACUUCGGGAAACCGGAGCUAAUACCGGAUAAUAUAUUGAACCGCAUGGUUCAAUAGUGAAAGACGGUUUUGCUGUCACUUAUAGAUGGAUCCGCGCCGCAUUAGCUAGUUGGUAAGGUAACGGCUUACCAAGGCAACGAUGCGUAGCCGACCUGGGAGGGUGAUCGGCCACACUGGAACUGAGACACGGUCCAGACUCCUACGGGAGGCAGCAGUAGGGAAUCUUCCGCAAUGGGCGAAAGCCUGACGGAGCAACGCCGCGUGAGUGAUGAAGGUCUUCGGAUCGUAAAACUCUGUUAUUAGGGAAGAACAAAUGUGUAAGUAACGAUGCACGUCUUGACGGUACCUAAUCAGAAAGCCACGGCUAACUACGUGCCAGCAGCCGCGGUAA
Molecule: ribosomal RNA, 513 nt
Filed under: uncultured bacterium
Lineage: Bacteria
Description: partial 16S ribosomal RNA
Rfam family: Bacterial small subunit ribosomal RNA
Source: RNAcentral